This 35526-nucleotide long non-coding RNA is filed under the name Prunus persica (peach). RNAcentral describes it as "long non-coding RNA (PPER_LNC008340)". Lineage: Eukaryota; Viridiplantae; Streptophyta; Magnoliopsida; Rosales; Rosaceae. The record is from RNAcentral.
UUAGUUUUUCUUUUGUCUUAUUCCAACAUUGCAAAUCUCUCUUCCGGGUCAACCACCUCUUCAUCAUCAUCUUCAGUAAAAGUAGCCAUCUUCAUUAUCUUCACAGCUGAAGUAGUCAUGUUCCGAGUCUUGCUCAUCUUCACAUAGAUCAACACCUGAUUCAGACUCAUCGGAUUCAGACCUGUCAUUAGCAUCUUCCAAGUCAUCGGAUUCAGACUCACCAUCUUCCGUAAAUAUAGACAGGUCGUCAUCAUCCUGUGUCAUUACCAGGUGGACCCCGAAGCUAUUAAAACGCAGCGAAUCUUGUGUCAAAUUCUGAAAAUUAACUUGACACGCAAAAGGCGACUGCGGCCAGGUAAUCUGAUCAUCCCGGUAAAACAUUUCUCUGAAUCGAAUAUAGCACAGCCACACAUGACCUGACCCUAUCUUUCUGAAAUGGUAAUCGAACUGAAUAUAAUGAGGUACCACUUCUGGUUGAUUGACGGAAAUUUUUGUUAGAAAACCAUGGUAACGUCGUCUUUUAUUUUGCGGGUUUUCAACAGCAGCAUAUAGAGCCAAUCCUUGGUUCUGGCAUUUGAAGUUUGGAGGGAUUUCAAUCAAAAGUUCACAUGCUUCAUCACGCUCCUUCACAUCGUUAUGACAGCUGAACAACGUCGAGAGAGCUUCAAAACUUGCUGGAAAUACAACCUGAAAUCCAUGUUUCUGUGAAGACAGAAGGUGAUCAAAGAAGAGUGUGAUCUGCUCCUUUGGUAGAAUGUUUGGUUUCUUUGGGAGGUCACGAGCCAGAUUGCCGCACAGUCUCUGGCAAUUACACAAGUCCACCAACUCAAUCAUUUGUGAGUCUUUUUUACCUUUCAGAAUGUUGGACAAUGAUGAAAACCUUUCCAAUGAUAUGCAAUCACUCGCCUCUAACUUUACUAUUUUUGGUGGAAGUUCCGGAAUAUCUUGAAGCCUCUUGCAGCCAUGCAAGUAAAGCUCCCGCAAAUUGACAAAUUUCAUAAUGCAUACGGGAAUACUUACAAGGAAAUCACUUCUUGUUAGAUCAAGUGCACUCAAUGUAGACACACAAUCAAGAGUUCUGAGGAAAUUAAUUUCUGAUAAAUUGCUUCCUUCCAAAGUGAAUGCCUCAAGUCUGGGAAGCGCUAAAGGAUGUGAUACUGCACUCCCCAAAACUUCAGACUUCACUUUAUUUGGAAAUGUAACAAGCUUUCGACUUCCUUGGAGACAAACGUGGUUUAGAUGUUCCAACUCAUAAAUGCUGGGUGGCAGAUUCGUAAGAUUUUCACGAUUCCUUAGGUCUAAAAAUUCAAGACUGAUGAGAUAUGCAAUUGAUGCAGGCAAUUCUUUGAAGCCACUACCAGAUAGAAACAUGCAACGUAAGGAAUCCAUCUUUCCCCCAAUUUCAGGGAAAGUCUCCAGUCUUCUGCAAUCUUCAAGAUUGAGAACUUGUAGAGAUUUUGACUGGAUUAUUGGAAAUAGUGUGAGGUUAUAGCAUCUCACAAGACUCAAGUCAACAAGCUUAUCAUGAAAUCCAACAGAAGGAUGAACCUCAACUAAACUCGUGCAGUCGUCCAGAUUCAAGGACUGUAAGUUUGGAAUUCCAGAGAUAUUUGGGGUUUUUGUUAGGAAUUCACAGCUCUCAAAAUUCAUGGACUUCAAAUUUUGCAAACGCUAUAUGAGACAAAAAUAGAAAAGAAAAAGAAGGAUCAAACGAUAAGGCAUAAACAAGUGCAAGCCAUAACUCCAAAAACUUAAUAAACUUUUGAAAAUACGAAGGGAUGAAAAUAAUUUAAAUUACCUUGAAUCCCUCCCCAAGUUGUGACAAGCGGCUACAAGGCAUAUAAAGUUCAACAAGUUUACUUGGAUUGAAAGUAGAUGGUAAAGUUUGUAGAGGACAAUCAGGCCAAUGAAGAAACCUCAACUCAUUAGAUAGAUAAUCCACGUGAUCACCAUAAAAUCGUGCAUUCACAUUGAUGAAAAGUCGAAGGUUUUUCAUCUCUGAGAAGCUGUCACCACUCAAGCAUAUGUCAUCUGGUGUCGGAAACUUUGCUAUGAUGCCUUUAAUAUUGUUUGUUCCCUAUUAUCAAAAAGCAGUAGUGUUAACAUACAAAGCUCUUUAGCAAAUAAAAAUGCAAGUGUACACAUCACACACACAGACUUACUGUUCCUUCUGUUAGAACACGAUAAACAUCCUCGUGAAACCACAAUCUGCUACGUUCACCAGGCUCAUCUGGCGACUCUUGAUAAACUAUUCCUCUACCCAAUUCUUCAAGCAAGUCAUGCAUCCCAAUUAUGCCUUGUUCAAUAUUUAUGAGGGCCUUGUCUACGAGUACUUUAAUAGCAUACUUAGGCUUGAGGUCACAACCUUCCAGGAUCGGUAUCACAUGGUUCACCUUUCUACCGUUAAAGAAACAUGCUAUAUCAAGGAAGACUUCUUGCACCGAAUAUUCCAAUGCAUCAUAGCUUAUUUUGAGAGUUUUUUUAAUGUCCGAGUGCAGAUUCCCAUCCAAUGCAUCAUGCCACUCAUCUAUACUUCUACCACAUAGAUGGGAACCUAAAACCUUGAGAGCUAAAGGAAGACCUUGAGCAUGCUUCACCACAGUUUCUGCAGCUUUCACAUAAUCAUCAUCCAAAUUUUUAUUUCUCCCACCAUUCCAACUAAUGAAGAGAUCAAGAGAUUCACCAAAGUUUAAUUUCUUGGCCUUGUAUAUAAUACUAACUUGAUGAGAUCUUAGCAAAUGCUUAUCUCUUGUCGUUAUGAUAAUUCUACUGCCCAAACCAAACCAAUCACAACCUCCAACUAAGUUGUUUAAUUGGUCCAAAUGAUCCACAUCAUCUACAAUUACAAGGACCUUUUUACCACUCAACCUUUCCUUUAUCACACUGAUUCCUUUAUCGGCACUGGUAACCUUUAUUUCCUUUCCUCUUAGAAUCUCAUAAAGAAGAAGAUUUUGUAGGUCGACUAGGCCUCCAUAUGGUAUUGAUCUUUCUCUUACAUUUUCCAGAAAACAACUCCCUUCAAACACAUGGGCCAGUGAGUUAUAAACAGCUUUAGCAACAGUUGUCUUUCCUAUUCCACCAUUCCCCCAUAUUCCUACCAUGCGAACAUCAUUUCUGUCAACGUCUAAAACUUUACGAAUAUCUAGUACACGAGCCUCUAUUCCAACUUGGUAUUUUGCCACAUUGAUAUGGGUAUCCUUUAAUACUUGUAAGGAAAUCUCGUUGACAAUGUUCUGAAUAAAUUCAGUUUCAGGGCUGCCAAUUUUAAGCACAAACAACAUUUAAAUAAAAUGGGAUUUUUCUAUAUAUGUUUUAAAGAAGUGCUCGACUCGAUACUAGUGUAAAUUAUGUCGUGAAUUUUAGAUGAUGGAGUUACUACAUCAUGAUAUUUGAUAUGUCUAGACACUUCUUCUUAUUAAAAUCUCGGUUUAUUAGUUAAAAGUUGGACUCAACAUCCAUAACUGUCUUACAUUUAUCAAGAAGAAUAAUUAAAUGAGGGUUUUAUAAUCAACAUAAGGAAGAGCUGUUUGGUAGGUAUCUAAGACUAAUAAAUUAAUUAAGUAUUUUGUUCUUGGAAAUUAUGUAAUUUAUGGACAACAUUUUAUAUAUGUUUGUUGCAUGUUAUCAUAUACCAUAGGCUUAAUUUUUUCAAAUCCUCUAGGUGUGGGAUUGCCCUGGAGAGAGAGAGAGAGAGAGAGAGAGAGAGAGAGAGAGAGAGAGAGAGAGAGAGAGAGAGAGAGAGAGAGAGAGAGAGAGAGAGAGAGAGAGGUGGUGGAUGGGAUAGAGGAAGGUGGAGGGAGGGUCAUAAGAGAGGCGUGAGUGCGGCUGUUUAUGGCAGGGAUGGGUUGAUUUGAGAACUUAUUAUUUUUUUCACAAUAUUAAACCCAAAUAAAUAAGUUAGGGAAAGUACAUCAAACAUGGUUUUCUUCUUCUGUCUUACACUCCCCUUCUAUUUUCUUACUCUAUCGUUUAAUCGCUCUUCUCGAUUUCUCCUUACUAAACAAUUGUUUAUCAAACAUGUUACUAUUGUAAUAGAUUUUGAUGUUGUCUUUUGUCUAUUUUUGCUCAUUUUGCUUCAAGAUCUUGAAUUUGUCGUUUGGUGGUUGACAAAUGAAGUGCAGAAAAUAUAUCUAAUCUGUAGUUUCUAUUCAUUUUCAGUACUUUUGAUUGCAUAUCUUGAAUUUAUAUUGUUUGAUGGCUGAGAACAUGAGGGAAAAACAAACAAUUAGAAAAUUCAUGAACAAGCUAUGAUGUUAGGGAAAGCUUGUGAUGGAAUGGACACUACGAUAACAAUAGAAGAGAUUGGUUUUCGUAACAGAGUGAUUUUAUUAGAAAGGAGAGAUGUACACUGCUUGCUUGGUGUAGAACUAUGAGGCUAUUAAUAAUGUAGCUAUUGGUUGGCUAAUUGGCCUUUCAGUGAUGUAACUAUUUGCUACUUAGUGGGUUUGUAAGAUUGCAGGAUUUCAUCCAACACAAAAAAUAAAGGACUGCAGGAUUCCACUGGCAUAUUACACAAAGCCUUGUAAUCUCCUCUGUUUCUAUUAGAUUGUGUGAGGCUUAGAUAUAAGAAUAGUGUUUGGCUUUCUAGUAGAUUUCUUAGUUACAAUUCACAUUACAACACUUCAAUCCUAUUUAUUGGCAAUGUUUUCCGGCAAGUUUGCCGACUUGACCAACCACCAUGUCUACUACUUGGCUUUAUCAAAUAUUAUCAGCCACAUAAGCUGCAGCUUGCUCUAGACUGGAGCAUUCUACAAAACUCCUUAUAUGUUUGUGGCUAUUUGUUUAGCCGGCAAAGUUCACCGACUUGGUCAUUUAGUCCAGUAGCUACCCUCUUCUAGAUUCUACUACAAUUAUCUUAGAUAUCUGAUAGCUAUUGUAGCACUUUGGGAUUCUAAAUUAUUACUCUAGAGAUUUCUACCAAAUGUCCAUCACAUUUUAACAGUUAAAAUAACAGAUUCUGCAACCCUGGGAGAAAUAAAUUGAAAUUAAGGCAGAGCCUCCUGAUCCUAAAUGUAUAUUAAAGAUAGAAAUAUACCGCAUUCAGAAAAGAAAAAAAACAUACCCCUCCAAGUAAUGCGACCCAGACAAAUUUGCAGCUUCUGUAAGGGUUUCCUUCCAUCUCAGCACCUUCUUCAUAUUGUCCUCGAAUUUACUUUCAUCAUGGUUAGUAAGUCUCUGUUCUUUGAAUUUGCGUUCAUGGUUAUUCAGUGCCUCGCCAUAACUACCUCUUUGGUUCCUUACAUCUGAGGGAUCCACUUUGUAGAAAACUGGCCAAACCAUCUGUUGCUUUGAUUUUCUACACUGAAUGAUAUGAACAAGUUCAUCCAAGCACCACUUCGAGGAUGCAUAGUUUUCAGAGAAUACGAUGAUGGAACACCUCGAUCCUUCAAUUGCAUCAAGAAGUGCUUGUGAUAUUUCUUCUCCUCUUGGGAGCUCAUCAUCUAUGAAGGUUCUGAUGCCCCUCUGGACCAAAUUUUUGUGUAGAUGGUCUGUGAAAUUGUAGCGUGUGUCCUCACCUCUAAAGCUGAGAAACACAUCGUGUGUCCAUGAAUUGGUGAAAGAAGAAGAAGAAGAAGGGGAAGGAGCUCCUAAUAAUUGAGUGGUGCUUAGAUCCAUAUUGUUGAAAAUUGAACAGGCUGAAAGGGUUGGAAAUUAUGGUGAUUUAUUGUCCAAGAGUUUCUGGUUGGCAAUGUCAGUGGAGAGAAGAAACAUGCGAGUGAAAAAUCUUGGUCUUUCUGGGCCCCAAGAGCUCCUACCCCUGCUGGGUCUCUCUAGACCCGAGGGACAGUUUAACCAAAAAUAAACGUAGUAAUAAUAACACACUGGUAACAGCACUCUCACCCAAUUGUCAUGACAAAUAGCAAGGGCUGUUACUAUUUAUGCAAAAUUGGUCAAAGAAAGUAUUCGGUACUCUGUCAUUAAGACAAUUUACGCCCCACUACAUUGCUCAUGGUUGCGUUUGUCUCCUAAAAUACAACCACCACUUACAAUUGUAACUUUUUUCAUUUUACAUUUCAAACUUCAAAUCCAGUCGGCAAUUAGACCAGUAUUAACUAGUACAUGCAGUUACAUAAAAAUUUGAAUGCAAACCCUUUGUGUCUAGAAACAAUUCUGCACUAAAAAUAGUUUUCAGUUCAACAUUGGUCGUGUGUGUUUAUUUUCUUGUCUCACCACAACAACUUCCAAAACCACAGCAAAGCUAGCUGCAGUCAUUUUGUCACAAAAUUGUUCGUUUGUUAAAAAUAGUUUAUGGUUUAAUGGUUUGUUCUGUUAAGGGAAAGCUUGGUUGCAAUAAUUAAACUUUUGGUUUAUAUAUAAUUCCUUUAAAUCCAAAUGUAAGAACCAUUAAUUCAUCCGCUAAUAGCUUGCAAAAAUUGAUUAAAAUGGAAAAACAAAAAACAAAUACACAUCAAAUUAAUAGUACAGUUAUAUAUAUGCAAGAUUAGACUAAUAUUUUAAACAUGUUUACAAGGUGUUCACCAAGGCACAAAACGGUCCAUAAGCAAACAGACUGUGGCCUCUGAAAGCGUAGAGGAAUCCAAGUCCCUCUGAAUCUGAGCCAUUCUGCUGCUCUCUUUUCUUGCUUCUUUCAACACUUGUUCUUCUUCAACCUCAUCAUCACCCUCUCCUUGUUUGCCCUUUGAUGAAAACACCAUUCGCUUCUUAGCUCCUACCUUGUCUUUCAGCUUUGCAAACUCGCUCAUCCAAACCUCCACCACUGCAGACAUAAUUGAACUACUUGAAAACUUGAAAUUAUUGCUUGGUCUUGACUCUUGAGUUUGAUCAAGGAUGAUGAGGAGAGCUGGCUAUUAUGCUUGUUGGGUUAUAUAGAAGACAGAGAGAGAGAGAGAAAGAAAGAGGGCCUUGCCCUUCAUGUGGUUUGGAUUGGAUGAAAAAUAAGUGUGUCACAGCCGUUGGAUAUAGGUUCGCACACAGGAUUUAGUUUUAGGAAUAUUCGUUGGAGAGAGAGAGAGAGAGAGAGAGCAGAAGUGGGGUAUGAGUUUUGUGGAGUGAAUGAAAAGCUUCUCCGUGGGCGUGUGUCCUCACCUCUAAAACUGAGAAACACAUCGUGGGUCCAUGAAUUGGUGAAAGAAGAAGAAGAAGAAGGGGAAGGAGCUCCUAAUAAUUGAGUGGUGUCUAGAUCCAUAUUGUUGAAAAUUGAACAGGCUGAAAGGGUUGGAAAUUAUAGUGAUUUAUUGUCCAAGAGUCUCUGGUUGGCAAUGUCAGUGGGCAGAAGAAUCAUGUGAGUGAAAAGUCUUCGUCUAUGUGGGCCCCAAGAGCCCCUACCUCUGCUGGGUCUCUCCAAUCUAGGAGAAAUUAUAGAGUAGUACCGUAUCACCACGUCAGCUGGUGAUACUUCCACUCAAAAUAUGCCAUGUGUAAUUUUUUAAAAUUAAUUAUUCUUCAUUACAGCUGGACUUUAUUUUUAUCCGCUGAAAUAAAUUAGAAAAAUAAAAAACUUAAAAAAAAAAAGAGAGAAUAUCCCAGCAACCCAACCCUUACCCCCACGCCACCCCUCUGUCGUCGUCUUCCGACUGCCAUCAACAGUCAUUAGUAAGAGAGCCAAAUCCCCACAGCCUAAUAAAUUUUUGCAACAAGGAAACUUCAUCAUCAUUGUCAAUGAAUGUUAAUAUAUGAUGGAGUUUAUUAGAUCCAAUAUAAUACCCAACACAAUCAACCCUUUCCAUAUCAAUUUCAUGCUGGUCGAUUUGUAGCCUGUUUGUUAUAGACCCACCUCCCAUCCCAACCUUCUUCACAUCUGCUAGUGAGACCUUCAUCAAUGAAAAAAUAUAUAUGGAUCUUGGGGUAGUCACCAAAAGGUUGAGAAAGUUGAAGAACGGCAACAGAGAGAGAGAGAGAGAGAGAAAUAAAUAAAAGAGAGGGACGGGGCGGCGACCAGAGCGGCGGUGCGAGGUAGGCAUGUUGGGGGUAGGCUGUGGCUAUGCUCUUUUUUUUUCCAUUGUUUAUUUUCUUAAUUUUAUUUUAAAGGGUAAAAAUUAGGUUAAUGUCCAGUUGUAAAAUAAAGUUUGAGUUGUUAAAAAAUAAAGACACAUGUCAUAUUUUGAGUGGGAAUAUCACCAGCUGACGUGGUGAUACGGUACUACUCUAUAAUUUCUCCCAAUCUAGACCCGAGGGACAGUUUUAAUUUUAUAUGAUUAUUUAUAAUUCCAACAGCUAUAUUUUAUAAUUAUCUUUUUGUUUUGCUUUCUCUUUUCGUUAUAUUUUCUUCUUUUUAUUUAUAAUUAUUGUUUAUCUUUAUUAAUGAUUGUCGUUUAUUUUUUCAAAUUCAAUGAUAAAUCACAUAAUUCAGGUCCUUUAGAAAACUACUUUCAGGUCCUUUUCACUAAUAACCAAAAUAAAUACAACCAAAUUAAUAAAUGGCUUGGCAUGAGGAGUUUAUGGCAUGGGAGCUAAGCUUUCACAAGUUUAGCAAUUUAAGAAAGAGAAAGCAUGAGUUUCUUGCAUAAUACAAAGAUCAAAAUGGGGCAGAAGAAAAUUAGGAGGAUUCCUAUCUUAGGGAAAGAAGAAAACAGCGAGAGAAGAAGAUUGGGUGGCUUGAGUAAAUUCUCAGUUGCUUGACAAAGCUUGGUCAGGCUCUGGAUGAUGAUUUUGCUGGGUAAUGAGCCCUUUGUGGUUCCAAGGGUUUGACGCAGCUGGACCUCCUCAUGAAGGUGAGGCGCACUUGCUUUCCUUCUUGGUUUUCAAAACGGAGCUAACAGAGGAAAAGAAAACAGGUAUAGUCUUUUGCCCGGUGGGUACUUUCCUUACAUACAUGGAUUUCCUUUGGUUCCUGCUAUGGCUUCCCAUUGACUGUCUUGAAGCUUUGACAAAGAUGGAGCACGAUGUCAGAUUUUUAUAAGGCGUUGGGCUGGGCUUGUGUGUACAGUGUUGGGUUAUUAACGUAUUAUCUCCAGCAUCUAAUGGGUUUUCAUCAAGCUGCCGGAAAUAGCUUACUUAUCUUAGGCAUUUUUACUGAUGUAGGUUUAUCUAAGUGUCAUAAUAGGUUACUAGAUGUCCUCCUAAGGCAUUGGACCAUUCUUUUCUCCUUCUUUCAUGCUAACCCAUGUAUUUGGGCCUGAAGAAUGGGCCUGAGUUUUAAUACUCCCAAGUAGCUUAAAACUUUCAUUCCUCGAACCCUCAAUGGGCCCUGUGAUUGCUUGUUUCCUUCCAUACCACAACAUUCUCAGCAAGCCCCGGGUAAUUUUGUGGCUUGGACUCACUUAAGCUUGUGGCACAGCUUGGUAUUAGAAUAGUGGUCCUUUGCACGGCAUUUAUUUAACAUGCUUGCAUUUGAGUUUUUAUCAUGCCGUGAUAGGCUAUAAUUGGGCCAAGUAACACUGGAUGGGUAGAUGAGCAUGAUUUUGUGGAGCCGGUAUGCUCUUGACCCCUUUUGUGCAUGCUUGCUUGGUAUGACACGUGAAUUGUGGCUUGCAUUGAUGCGUCCUUCAAAUUCUCUUUUGUUCCGAUCGGGCUCCUUUUGCAUUCAAUCUCUCUGUGUUAGGCCAGAAAUUGAUCUGGGCCUAGCUCCUUGAAUUUCUAGGCCUCAACAAAUGCAAAUCCUUUGUGACUAAAAACAAUUCUGCACUAAAAUUUUUGAAAAAUAAUAUCGAUGCCUUUAUCAACAAAAUGGCCUAAUUCACAGAAUUUAGGUAAAUUUUAAACAAAAAUUGAUUAAAAAAACCAGAGAAAUGCCAUCAUAUUUUAAUCCCCACUAGAUACAUGCACAUAAGACGCGCUUAGGAUAUUCAUUCGGAUAUAAAAUCAAUAGGAUCCAAAAUUUGGUGUUUAUCAGAUUUAGGAUGAUAAGCUAAAUUUGAUAGUCUCAAUACGACUUGAAUUGAAUUCGGUAAUCUUAUUAUAAUUCACAUUGUUUGUUAACUUGUAAUAUAAUCACCUUAAAUCACUCAAACUCACUAUGCAACACAUUUCAUUCAAUUCUUUUGUGUCAAAAUAAUUGACUACUUGAACAUCUUUUAAAAGUUUCAUUACGUCAAUGGGGUAUAACUCAGUUGACUAAGCUCUUCCACCUCCACUCAUGUAGGCAAAAGUUCGAGACACUCAGGCACCUAAUGAAUAUUUGUGUAAACCACCCCCCCAAUCACUUGUACUAUAUAAAAAAAUUCAUUACAAAUUUUCAUGUUUUUCUUAUCAUUUCCAUUAUUUUUAAAAAAAAAAUCUAGUUUUUAUCAAUAUCGAAAAUUUUUCACGUAUAUAUAUUUCCAAAUUUUUAGACCACAAAUAUUUUUGAAACCAUCGAUAUUUAGUACCUUACUUCUUACCAAAAAACUUUCUGUAAGGAUUGUAUUUUGACAUGUUUGUUGUUUGGCUCUUCUCUUGUAUUUCACAAAACCAUUGUAUUAAUUCUUGUUAUAGACUAGAGGUUGUGUCUGAAAUAGAUUGAAGAUAAAUUCGAGUCCUCACGUUGCUGCCAAAGGUAAAUCUCACAUGCAUUCUCACUGGAUUAAUACAUGUUCACGUGUAUUAAUCCAACAUUCAUUCUUACGUGUUUGCUGCAACAUUUCUCUUUAUUUCAGCUUUGACAGACUUUCUUAAAACUCUGUCUACAAAAGGAAUAAUUCUAUCUUUGGUGGUGGUGUCUUGAGCCGCUCCCAUGCUAAAAGUCUGGAGCUUGAAAAAACAGUGUGAUUUUCAAAAGCUCUAUAUAUAUAUUCUUCUAGACAGAGUUGCAAAAACAACUUUUUGACUCAUGCAUUUUUAAUAGAUGACUUAUGCCUUCUUUCUAGAUAUACUCUGGACAUGAAAACCGAGAGGGAAUAAAACUCUGAAAAGAGUUUGCCUUCAGCCAAAGUUCAUAUCCUGAGGGUUAUGAGAAUGAUUGCAUUCACAUAAAUGCUUCCCCAAGAUGACUUUAAAGCUUUAAUGGCUGGCUGUUUUUUCUUCACUUCAAUCUUCUUUAAUGUUUCAGCUAGUAUAUGUUACUUGAGAGUAUACGAUUGAUAGUAUACAUAUAACCUUCUCCGUGUAUACAUUUACAAGAUUGCGGCUGCAAACCUUUUCUUUGUUGUUGUUAUGUUGAAUUAAACUACAUGCUUCAAGUACUUUACUUCUAGUUUAUUCUUCACGACACUUAGGUUUCAUUUGUCUAGCUCAAUUAUUCUCUGUGAUUGAGAUAGAUGAAUCUUGAAAUCAUGACUCACCUCAUACAUCAAAAUUACAUACAACUAGAGCUUGGUGCUCUUGAGAGGAUUUGCUGCUACGAGAUAAAGAAAAGGUGCUUGUUGAAAGGUUGAUUGAAGCUGCCUAUAGGUGAUAGAUUGAGCUAAGUCUUCUUUCAUUUUUCUUGUAUUUCUUAAUGAGUGGAUUGGAUCUCUCCUGAUUUGGUGCUCCCAGUUUUUCACCUACUUGGGUUUUCUGGGUCAACAACUCCUGUGUGUCGUUUACUUUCAGCUGUUAAUUGUCUUCCCUUAUUAAUCACAUAAUUGUUUGUAUGUGUAUGUGUACGACUUAACAGAACUUUUUAAAAUUGGUAGGUCUUUGACCGGUAGCCUACUUCACCCCCCUUUGUAGGCUCUUAGAGCUUAGGGUUUGGUUUUACACGUUCCUUAUUUAUUGUAAAAUUAAUGAGACUAACUAUUUAUAACAAAAGCCAUAAUUUCACUCAUAAUAAGCAUCAAUAUACAUUACAGAUGCGAAGUAUUUUCCUGUCAUCUUCAUAGUGGAUGUGAAGUCAAAGGAAAUAAGAAAAUGGUCAAAAGGAAACACCGACAAACCACAAAAUGAAAAAGAAAAAAGAAGCAUCAAUACACUUUCGUUGCAACAUUGGUGUUUACCAAGUAGUUGGGGUGUGGAAAAAAAAGAAGACAAAAGGUCGAUUGUUGAUGAAGUUGACUGAAAUAGAUCAGGAUUUUCAAAAUUAACCUCCAUAAUUGUUAGAAGACAAAAUUUUGUUAUUGGCGAGUCAAUUAAUUCAUAAAAUUGAGCUUUCACAUUGGUGAAAAGUUGAAGGUUUUUCAUCUUUGAGAAGCUGUCAUCACUCAAGCAUAUGUCAUCUGGUGUCGGAAACUUUGCUAUGAUGCCUUUAAUAUUGUUUGUUUCCUAUUAUUAAAAAAAAAAAGAAGUUGUUUUAACAUACAAAGCUUUAUAGCAAAUAAAAAUGCAAGUGUACACACACACAGAGACUUACUGUUCCUUCUGUUAGAACACGAUAAACAUUCUCGUGAAAUCACAAUCUGCUACGUUCACUAGGCUCAUUUGGCGACUCUUGAUAAACUAUUCUUCUACCCAAUUCUUCAAGCAAGUCAUGCAUCCCAAUUGUGCCUUGUUCAAUAUUUAUGAGGGCCUUGUCUACGAGUACUUUAAUAGCAUACUUAGGCUUGAGGUCACAACCUUCCAGGAUCGGUAUCAUAUGGUUCACCUUUCUACCGUUAAAGAAACAUGCUAUGUCAAGGAAAACUUCUUGCACUGAAUAUUCCAAUGCAUCAUAGCUUAUUUUGAGAGUUUUUUUAAUGUCCGAGUGCAGAUUCCCAUCCAAUGCAUCAUGCCACUCAUCUAUACUUCUACCACAUAGAUGAGAACCUAAAACCUUGAGAGCUAAAGGAAGACCUUGAGCAUGCUUCAGCACACAUUCUGCAAGUUCCACAUAAUCAUCAUCCAAAUUUCUAUUUCUUGUAAAACCAUUCCAACUAAAGAAGAGAUCAAGAGAUUCAUGAUAAUUUAAUUUCUUUGCCUCGUAGAUUAUACUAACUCAAUGAGAAGUUAGCAAAUGCUUAUCUCUUGUCGUUAUGAUAAUUCUACUGCCCAAACCAAACCAAUCACAACCUCCAACUAAGUUGUUUAAUUGGUCCAAAUGAUCCACAUCAUCUACAAUUACAAGGACCUUUUUACCACUCAACCUUUCCUUUAUCACACUGAUUCCUUUAUCGGCACUGGUAACCUUUAUUUCCUUUCCCCUUGGAAUCUCAUAAAGAAGAAGAUUUUGUAGGUCGACUAGGCCUCCAUAUGGUAUUGAUCUUUCUCUUACAUUUUCCAGAAAACAACUCCUUUCAAACACUUGGGCCAGUGAGUUAUAAACAGCUUUAGCAACAGUUGUCUUUCCUAUUCCACCAGUCCCCCAUAUUCCUACCAUGCAAACGUCAUUUCCGUAAACAUCUAAAACUUUAUGAAGAUCUCGUACACUAGCCUCUAUUCCAACUUGGUAUUUUGCCACAUUGAUAUGGAUAUCAUUUAAUACUUGUAAGGAAAUCUCGUUGACAAUGUUCUGAAUAAAUUCAGUUUCACGGCUGCCAAUUUGAAGCACAAACAACAUUUAAAUAAAAUGGGAUUUUUCUAUAUAUAUUUUAAAGAAGUGCUCGACUCAAUACUAGUGUCAAUUAUGUCGUGAAUCUAUAUAUAUAAAGCAAAAAGCAGAGAAUGGUGAAACAUUCAAAAUACCAUAAAUGUCAUUGAUUAAUGCAAACAUUAAGAAUUGAAAUUAUUAAUUAAAUGAGGAUAAUAUGGUAAAUUCACACUUUUUCAUAUUAAAAAUAAAUUAAAAUUAAAAGAAAAAAAAUUAGAAAACACGUGACCAAGCUAUGAUGUUAGGGAAAGCGUGUGAUGGAAUGGACACUAGGAUAACAAUAGAAGAGAUUGGUUUUCGUAACAGAGUGAUUUUAUUAGAAAGGAGAGAAGUACACUGCUUGGUAGCUAUUAUAGAUAUUUGAUACUAUUAUCUUCAAUAUUUGAUAGCUAUUAUAGCAUUUUCGGAUCCUAAAUUACUCUAGAAAUUUCUACCAAAUGUCCAUCAUAUUUUAACAGUUACAAUAACAGAUUCUGCAACCCUGGGAGAAAUAAUGUAGCUAUUGGUUGGCUAAUUAGCCUUUCAGUGAUGUAACUAUUUGCUGCAAUUUAUAUUACUGUUGUAUUGAUUCAAUUAUAUUUAUAUAAAAUAUAUUCGUUGGUUUUUAUUAUUUUGUUAUUUUGGUUUUAUACUGAUUGUUUUACAACAACUAGUACAUCAGUCGUUAAACACCUUGCAAUUACAUAAAAAUUUGAAUGCAAACCCUUUGUGUCUUGAAACAAUUCUGCACUAAAUUUUUUGAAAAAUAAUGUUGAUUCCUUUAUCGACAAAAUGACUAAUUCACAAAAUUUAGGUAAAUUUUAAACAAAAGUUGAUUAAAAAAGACAAGAGAAAUGCCAUCAUUUUAAUCCCCACUAGAUACACGCACAUAGUGGAUGUGAAGUAGUUUCCUGCCAUCUUCAUAGUGGAUGUGAAGUCAAAGGGAAUAAGAAAAUUGUCAAAAGGAAACACCGACAAACCACAAAAAGAAAAAGACAAAAGAAGCAUCAAUACACUGUCAUUGCAACAUGGGUGUUUACCAAGUAGUUGGGGGUGUGGAGAAAAAAAACAAAAACAAAAGGUCGAUUGAUGAUGAAAGAUAACUAAAAUAGAUCAGGAUUGUAAAAAAUAACCUCCAUAAUUGUUACAAGACAAAAUUUUGUUAUUGGCGAGUUAGUUAAUUCACAACGCGUCAUGCUAACUAUUAGAUAGAAAAGUAUUCAUACGUGAGUUUAAUAUAUUAUCGUCUUUCUCAAUAAGAAAUGUGAAACAUUCAAAAUACCAAAAAAUAUCCUUGGUUAAUGCAAACAUUAAGAAUUGAAAUUAUUAAUUAAAUAAGAAUAAUAUGGUAAAUUCAUACUUUUUUAUAUUAAAAAAAUUAAAAUGAAAAGAAAAAUCAGAUAAUGAAUCUUAUUUUUAUGAGACACAACUACUCAUCAUCUUUUUAAUUCUAAAAUAAUUUUUUUUUCUUCAAAAAGCCUCUCACAAGCGCAAAAGCUCGUGCGGAGAUGCUAGUUAUAAAUAAAUAAAAACUAGUGUAUUUUGUUUUUGUUUGUUUGUUAAAAAAUAAUAUAUGGUUUAAUGGGUUGUCCUGUUAAGGGAAAGCUUAGAGGCAAUAAUUUAAACUUUUGGAAAAACAAUAAUCCCAAAUGUACGAACCAUUCAUCCGCUAAUAGCUUGCGAAAAUAUAAUUAAAAUGGGAAAACAAAAAACAAAUACACUAGUAAUAAGUUUAUGUAUCCACUAAAACUUAAUUACAUGGAGGCAAUCCAAUGGAUCACUAAUGAUUUUUUCAUCAAAACAACCUAGUUAUAUAUAAUUACCGAAAAAACUAAUGACUCAUUUUUCAUGGCCAGAGAAGCGAGCAAAGGUCCUUCAACAAAUAAAACAUGUGUACAAGGUGUCACCAAGGCACAAAACGGUCCAUAAGCAAACGAACUUUGGCAUCUGAAAGCGUAGAGGAAUCCAAGUCCCUCUGAAUCUGAGCCAUUCUGCUGCUCUCUAUUCUUGCUUCUUUGAACACUACUUGUUCUUUAACCUCAUCAUCACCUUCUCCUUGUUUGGCCUUCGAUGAAAACACCAUUCGCUUCUUAGCCCCCACCUUGUCUUUCAGCUUUGCCAACUCGCUCAUCCAAACCUCCACCACUGCAGACAUGCUUGAACUUGAAAACUUGAAAUUCUGGCUUGGUCUUGACUGUUGAGUUUGAUCAAGGAUGAUGAGGAGGGCUGGCUAUUAUGGUUGUUGGGUUAUAUAGAAGAGAGAGAGAGAGAAAGAGAAAGAGGGCCUUGCCCUUCAUGUGGUUUGGAUUGGAUGAAAAACCAGUGUGUCACAGACAGCCGCUGGUUAUAGGCUCGCACACAGGAAUAUUCCUUGGGAAGAGAGAGAGAGAGAGAGAGAGAGAGACUAGAAAGUGGGGUAUGAGUUUUGUUGAGUGAGUGAAAAGCUUCCCCGUGGGUGGGCGCACGGAACUCUCUUCUUUAGAUUAAUCUUGUGGGCGACUUAGCAUAUUACUAUUCAUAAUAAUAUUCCAUUGCAUCUUAGUUUUCCUUGUGUCUUAUUCCAACAUUGCAAUUCUCUUUCUCCGAAAUACCCAUUCACCUCUUCAUCAUCAGUAAAAGUAGCCAUCUUCAUUAUCUUCACAGCUGAAGUAGUCAUGUUCCGAGUCUUGCUCAUCUUCACAUAGAUCAAUACAAUUAUCUCCAUCAAACCUCUCAUUAGCAUCUUCCAAGUCAUCGGAUUCAGACUCACCAUCUUCCGUAAAUAUAGACAAGUCUUCAUCAUCCUGUGUCAUUACCAGGUGGACCCCGAAGCUUUUUAAACACAGCGAAUCUAGUGUCAAAUUCAGAAAAUUAACUCGACACGCAAAAGGCGACCGCGGCCAGGUAAUCUGAUCAUCCCGGUAAAACAUUUCGCUGAAUCGAAUAUAGCACAGCCACACAUGACCUGACCCUAUACCAUGACCUGACCCGUUCUUUCUGAAAUCGGACGCAGUAAAAUAAGGUUCCACUCCUGGUUGAUUCACGGAAAUUUUUGUUACAAAACCAUUGUAACGUGGUCUUUUGUUUUGCGGGUUUUCACCAGCAGCGUAUAGAGCCAAUCCUUGGUUCUGGCAUUUGAAGUUUGGAGGGAUUUCAAUCAAAAAUUCACAUGCUUCAUCACGCUCCUUCACAUACUUAUGACAGCUGAACAACGUCGAGAGAGCUUCAAAACUUGCUGGAAAUACAACCUGAAAUCCAUGUUUCUGCGAAGACAGAAGGUGAUCAAAGAAGAUAGUGAUCUGCUCCUUUGCUAAAAUGUUUUGCUUCUUUCUGAGGUCACAAGCCAGAUUGCCGCAGAGUCUGUGGCAAUUACACAAGUCCACCAACUUAAUCAUUUGUGAGUCUUCUUUACCCUUCAGAAUGUUGGACAAUGAUGAAAACCUUUCCAAUGAUACGCAAUCACUUGCAUCUAACUUUACUAUUUUUGGUGGAAGUUCCGGAAUAUCUCUAAGCCUCUUGCAGCCAUGCAAGUAAAGAUACCGCAUAUUGACAAAUUUCGUAAUGCAUUUGGGAAUACUUACAAGGAAAUCACAUAGUGUUAGAUCAAGUUCGCUCAAUGUAGACACAUAAUCUUCAGACUUCACUUUAUUUGGAAAUGUAACAAGCUUUCGACUUCUUCGGAGACAAAUGCGGUUUAAAUGUUCCAACUCAUAAAUGCUGGGUGGCAGAUUCGUAAGAUUUUCACAACUGCUUAGGUGUAAUAACUCAAGAUUGAUGAGAUAUACAAUUGACGCUGGCAAUUCUUUGAUGCCACUACCAUGUAGAAACAUGUAACGUAAGGAAUCCAUCUUUCCCCCAAUAUCAGGGAAAGUCUCCAGUCUUCUGCAAAAUUGAAGAUUGAGAACUUCUAGAGAUUUUGACUUGAUUAUUGGAAAUAGUGUGAGGUUAUGGCAACACAUAAGACUCAAGUCCACAAGCUUAUCAUGAAAUCCAACAGAAGGAUGAACCUCAACUAAACUUCUGCAGUAGUCUAGAUUCAAGGACUGUAAGUUUGGAAUUCCAGAGAUAUUUGGGGUUUUUGUUAGGAGUUCACAGCUCCUAAAAUUCAUGGACGUCAAAUUUUGCAAACGCUAUAUAAGACAAAAAUAGAAAAGAAAAAGAAGGAUCAAACGAUAAGGCAUAAACAAGUUUAAGCCAUAACUCCAGAAACUUAAUAAACUUUUGAAAAUACGAAGGGAUGAAAAUAAUUUAAAUUACCUUGAAUCCCUCCCCAAGUUGUGACAAGCGGCUACAAGGCAUAUAAAGUUCAACAAGUUUCCUUGGAUUGAAAGUAGAUGGUAAAGUUUGUAGAGGACAACCAGGCCAAUGAAGAAACCUCAACUCAUUAGAUAGAUAAUCCACGUGAUCGCCAUAAAAUCGUGCAUUCACAUUGAUGAAAAGUCGAAGGUUUUUCAUCUUUGAGAAGCUGUCAUCACUCAAGCAUAUGUCAUCUGGUGUCGGAAACUUUGCUAUGAUGCCUUUAAUAUUGUUUGUUCCCUAUUAUUAUAAUUUUUUAAAAAGUAGUGUUAACAUACAAAUUUCAAUAGCAAAUAAAAAUGCAAGUGUACACACACACACACUUACUGUUCCUUCUGUUAGAACACGCACUACUACAAAAAAGCAAAAAGACGACGGUAAAUCACCGUCGUGUAUUCGGUUUUUCAAUGGUCGUGGAAUCCACCGUCAUCUUUUCCCUCAUAAACCACGACGCUAAAUCACCGUCGUUGUUAAAAUAUACAACGUCAUCAACAAAUACAAAACGACGUCUUUGUACUGCAAAAAGAUCUAAAAAAGCAGUCGAGGAUGAGAAUAGACGACCAACUCUCUAAAAAAACCGUCGUUAAAAAGGAAAAAUAUGACACAUAUUAAGAUAACAAGGCCGCAAGAUAGACAUACAAUGACGAAAAUAAAAAUACCACGCCGUUAAAUAUCAUUUUCACGACAAUAAAAAAUUUGACGUCUUUAAAUACAUUAGAAGACGACGUUAUUGAUACCUACUACGUCGCAUAUAUAAAAACAGCCGUCGUAAAAUUAAUUUUCCACUUCGAUUUUUCGAUAAAAGAUGACGUGGAAAUAGUUGUCAGUGUCAUUAUUUACGACGUAUGUAUUUAUAGAGUAGACGUUGAAAAACGAAACAACGUCAGUUACAAAUAUAUGAGAGUCGUAUUACAAAAUUUAUACGUCAUAUUUUCAGAAACAAACAACGACGAUAAAUAUUCAACGUUGUUAAAUAAACCAACGUCGGAAAACAAUAAAAACAGACGUGUUUAGUCUGCUAAAGUUCUAGAAAAUAGUCGAGGAUGAGAAUAGACGACCAACUCAAACAAAUCACCGUCGUUAAAAAGGAAAAAUAUGACACAUGUUAAAAGAACAAGGCCGCAAGAUAUACAUACAACGACGAAAACUAAAAUACUACGCUGUUAAAUAUAAUUUACACGACAAGAAAAAAUAUGACGUCUUUAAAUACAUGAGAAGACGACGUUAUUGAAAUAUACUACAUCUCUUAUUUACAAACAACCGUCGUGAAAUAAAUUUUCCACUUCGAUUUUUCUAAAAAAGAUGACGUGGAAAUAGUUGUCAGUGUCAUUAUUUACGACGUAUGUAUUUAUACAGUUGACGUUGAAAUGCGAAACAACGUCGGUGGCAUUUAUAUAGUCGACGUUGUAUUUAUAUCUAUCAUCAUUACUCACGACGCACUUAAUAAUAUAGACGACGUUGAACUUCUAAACAACGUCGGUUCCAAAUAAAUGAGAGCCGUAUUACAGAACAUAUAGACGGCGUUGAUUAUGAUGAGAGCCGUAUUACAAAUAACGUCGUUUAAUUGUUAUUAGACGGCGGUUAUAAUGAAUUUCCGUCGGAAUUCAUUUCGUUCCUCUUCGUUUAUAAAAGAACUUGCGACGUGGAAAAUGUAUGAUGACGUCGUAUUUUUUAACGUUCAGAUUAUAUAUCUCGUUUUUUAGACGUCGGUAUUAUGGGAUUGGAGUCGUGUUAUUUUGAAUUACAUGGCGGUUCUUAAUCCUUCCCCGACGUGAUAUCCUGAAUAAUUGCUUCACAAUAGCGUCGUGGUUCUUCAUUGUUACGUUGCUUUAAGACGUCGGUAAAUAUGCUGAAUAACUGGUUCACAAUAACGUCGUGUUUUAUUUGAACGUAGAAAGUGAAGAAAUCACAUUACAAUAUAUUACAAAAUUAAUGUCAUACACUGCCAAUUACAUAAGCAUCAUUCAAUCCAUAUAUCUUCACACCCAUCUCGAAUAUUUUGACCGCCUAACUCACCCACCAGUUCAUCAAAUGUGUCAACAUUUGGCAUCCCUCUAGUAAAUGGCUCACACUCAAUUAUCACAUCACCUAAGACUUCAUCACCAAUAACAUCAUUAUAUUCUCUAUUAGGCAUUGAUAACACUACCGACCAACUAUGAUGCAUCGGGUCGUCAACAAAAAAUAUUUGUUUGACUUGAGAAGCCAAAACAAAUUGGUCAUUCCUAUGUCCAAUUUUACUCAAAUCUACAAGGGUAAAUCCAAGUUCGUCGACUACAAGACCAGAACUAUCUAUCCAAUCACACCUAAAGACUGGGAUUGUAAACUUUUGGUAGUCAAGGUCCCAAAUUUCUUGAAUGACACCAUAGAAACCCAUAUUUGAGAGAAUUGGGUUUUUAUCCUUGGCACUAGCAACUUGCAUGGUAUGUGCAAGUAAAUAAACUCCACUAUUUUGAGUUGUCCGCACAUCAUCUUGUGCCUUGAUAUUGAAUUUAAUACCUUUAAUAAGAUAGCUCCUAUAUAAUGGCACUGACAUGUUUGGACCAGCUGCUAGCCACCUUAAAUUUUCUGAUACGCCGUGAUUGUCUUCCUCAAGUUCACUUUGAACCUGCAAAUUAAUCAUAUCUUAAUUCAAUCUAACAUAUAAAUAAGAAGAAAAUUAAAAGAGAAAUAUGUUAUUCAACAACAUAUACCUUGAAGCGUAGCCAUUGAAUGAAAGUGCUAUUGUGCUUAUCCUGCAGCCACUUUGUUCUCUUUCUAAAUUUUGGAUAAGCAAUCUUGAUGUGGAUCAUAUGUUGCCUACAUGACACGAAAAAUUCAAGCAUUACGGUCCCAAAUAUAGAAGAUAAACAUAAGAAAUAAUUUAAAAUGGAAACUUAAAGAAUAAAGCUCAUACGUACUCGAUAUAAGGUAGGACUUCCUCCGUAUUCUCCAAGACAUAUAGAUGUGCUUGAUUCAAUAGGUCCUGAUCAACUACGCUCACUGUGCAACCUGAUAAUGGCUUUGAAAGUCCCAUCUUUUGGCUUGAAGGCACUCCAACUGUACUAACAUCAGAUAAAUGCUGAGUACAAAACUCUACCGCUUCUUCAGCUAUAUACCGCUCAGCAAUGCAACCUUCGGGACGAGUACGAUUCUGAACAUACCCCUUCAGCACUUUCAUAUAUCUUUCAAACGGAUACAUCCACCUAAAAUAUACUGGCCCACAUAGACGAACUUCUCUGACAAGAUGUACUACUAGAUGAACCAUGAUAUCAAAGAAUGAAGGGGGAAAGUACUUCUCAAGCAAACACAGAGUAACUACUACAUCUUCUUCCAACUUAUCUAGCUUGGAAACAUCAACAGUCUUUGCACAUAUAGCAUUGAAGAAGAAGCACAAACGAGUUAUUGCAUACCUUGCAGGCUUCUCCAAAACAGAACGAAUUGCCACAGGGAGCAAUUGUUGCAUUAAGGUAUGACAAUCAUGUGAUUUAAGGCCAAGAAGUCUUGAAUCUUGUAAAGAUACAAGAUUUUUAAUAUUUGAAGAAUAACCUUCAGGGACCUUCAUACCAUAGAAAGAAUUGCAAACCUCUCUCUUCUCUGCUCUUGACAAAUUCCAAGGCCCAGGAGGCAAACGAGUACGUCUUUCUCCAUACUCGGGUUGCAAAUCAGUUUUGACCCCCAUGUUCAAUAAAUCUAAUCGAGCAGCAAUCCCAUCUUUAUUUUUUCCAGGGAUCUCCAGCAAUGUACCAAUGAUACUAUCGCAAACAUUCUUCUCAAUGUGCAUAACAUCUAGGGCAUGCCUCACAGGAAGGUAUUUCCAAUACUCGAGAUCAAAGAAUAUUGAUUUCUUCUUCCAACAAACUCUGUCACCAUUUUCAACCAUAUGCAGCACUUCUUCUCCGGUUAAUGGCUCGGGAGGUAUGCCAUAUUCAGGUUUCCCAUUAAAAGCUGCACGUUGCCUCCUAUAUGGAUGAUUGAUUGGUAACCAUUUUCUAUGCCCAAUGUAACAAAUUUUGUGGCCAUUUUUCAACCUGUGACUAGGUGUAUCAUCGCCGCAUAUUGGACAAGCUUUAUAUCCUUUAACAACACAACCAGAUAAGUUUCCAUAGGCGGGGAAAUCAUUAAUUGUCCACAUUAAUGCAGCUCUGAGUGUAAAGUAUUCUCCAUUAUGUGCAUCAUACACUCCUCUAAUCCCAACCCACAAGGAUUUUAAAUCAUCAAUCAAAGGCUCCAAGUAGACGUCUAUAUCAUUUCCGGGUUGUUUAGGACCGGAAAUCAAUAAGGUUAACAUCAUGAACUUUCGUUUCAUGCACAGCCAUGGAGGGAGAUUAUAUGUAACUAAGAUAACCGGCCAACAACUAUAUCUGCUACUUAGAGAACUGUGGGGGAUUGAAUCCAUCAGAUGAAAGAGCCAAUCUCAAGUUUCUCGGCUCAUUACCAAACUCAGGCCAUUUAUCAUCAAGAAGUUUCCAAGACGGGGAAUCCGCCGGAUGAGACAUCUGACCGUCAAUUGAUUUUCUAGCAGCAUGCCACCAAGUCAAACUCUUAGCUGUCUCAUGUGAUUGAAACAUCCUUUUAAACCUUGGAAUUGGGGGAAAAUACCACACCACCUUCGCUGGCACACCCUCUUUCAAGAUUGAAUCUUUGCCUUCCUUCCACCUUGAGAUACCACAAGUAGGACAAUUAGUUGAAUCCUCAUACUCCUUCCUAUACAAGAUGCAAUCAUUGGGGCAUGCGUGCAUUUUCUCAUAACUCAGCCCCAAUGCACACAAAGUCUUUUUAGCCUCAUACAUGGAGGUUGGUAUUGUAUUUCCUUCUGGAAGCAAAUCGCCUUGAAGUAUCAAUAAUUCUGUAAAACAGACAUCACUCAUCCCAUGUUUUGCCUUCAAAUUAUACAACUUCACUAAUGCCGAUAACUUCGUGUACUUUCUACAACCAGGGUACACUGGUUGAUCUCCAUCCCCAAUCACAUUGGCAAACUCAUACGGAUCCGAACCAAAAUCACCAAAAUCAUUAUCAUCCAUAUCAAUUUCUUCAGACACAAAACUGUACCUACUAUGGCCAUCAUCUUCUUCAACAUUUCUGCUAGCAUUAGUAGUUGCUUCCCAAGGUUCUCCGUGAAAUGUCCAAUUCUUAUAGCUUUGGUCAAUUCCAUUAAAGUAUAAGUGAUCCCUUAUAAUUCCAACCCCAAACAACUUCAAAUUAACACAUUUAACACAUGGACAACGGAUAUGUGUUGUAGUUAGAAGAUUUUCUACAGCAAAGUUCAAAAAUGCUUCCACCCCAACUCAUAUGCCUUCGAUCUUCUAUCCGAGUGCAUCCAUGACUUAUCCAUCUCCGACACUAUAACCUAUUAUCUAUAAUAAAGUGAAAAUACAGGCAAUGACCAUCACUAUAGCAGAUUAUACAAUGAUCUAAUCGCAAGUAAUACACAACAGAGACGACGGGUUUUAAACAAAAACAGACGUAUUUGGAAUAUAUAGACGACGGAUUUUCAACAGACGUCGUCUAUUAUAAGUAAUACAAACGACGGUUUAUGAAAAAACUAUCGUGUAUAAGUAAUACAACGACGGUAGUUUAAAAAAACCGUCGUGUAAUCGUCGUCGUAAGCCUUAAAAUUCGUCGUGUCUCAGUUUAUUUUCAAGAACACAAAACCCAUUAAGAACACAACAUAUAUAUGAAACCAAGCAAGAAACCAACAUAUACAUGAAACCAAGCAUGAAAACAAUAAAUCCAUUCCCAAUUCAACAUAACAUAGGGUGAUUAAAAGAUACGACAAAAUUAAAUCCAUUCCCAAUUCAACAUAACAGAUAAUGUAAUCCAUGAACCCAUUAAACAGAAAAUCCAUGAACCCAUACCUAUAAGCACAUUAUUAACAGAUCGCAAAGCAUACACAUAAAACCCUUUAACAAAACAACCUAAUAUAACUCGAAUCGUUACUAGAAUCAUCACUCGAAUCUCCAUCUUCAUUAUCAGUUUCUUCCUUCGUAGGUACUAUUUGCUCCCCAUCAUUGGUGCACUUUGCACCUUCUCCAGAGCGGAAAAUGACAAGAUCAAAUAAAGGUGUACUUUUGCUGGAAAUCAACACAAAAAGACACAGAUCAUCAACUUCCAAAUGAUUGUCACGCACAACGUCCAUCCAACCACGCCUGAAUUGUAUAAGUUUUACAAUGUUGGUUUGAGCAAAGGAAGGCCCAGAUCAGGCGNNNNNNNNNNNNNNNNNNNNNNNNNNNNNNNNNNNNNNNNNNNNNNNNNNNNNNNNNNNNNNNNNNNNNNNNNNNNNNNNNNNNNNNNNNNNNNNNNNNNAGCAUGAAACAAUAAAUCCAUUCCCAAUUCAACAUACAUAGGGUGAUUAAUAGAUACGACAAAAUUAAAUCCAUUCCUGGAUGGACGUUGUGCGUGACAAUCAUUUGGAAGUUGGUGAUCUGUGUCUUUUUGUGUUGAUUUCCAGCAAAAGUACACCUUUAUUUGAUCUUGUCAUGAACCCCUUUAACAAAACAACCUAAUAUCAUUCAAUGAAUUUACAAGGGGAAGAUAGGGUUUGUACUUACAGGUUGGACGAGCUCACAGAUUCGACGGAGCCUGGAGAGUGCAACUUUUAAUUAGAGCAGAAGUGAGAGAGCGAAAUGUUAUGUCGCGCGAAAUCUGAAAAUUUUAGGUUUCAGGGUUCGAAGUAUAAGAAUAAGAGCCAAAUCUAAAAAAAUUUAGGUCGCGCGAAAAUUUUUAGAGCUCGCGCGUUUUAAAACGUCGAAAGAAAAACCAAGGCGAAAGUUCUACAAGUACCGACGUAAAUUUAAUAUUCCACGACGGAAACUUCAUUUUUCGAAUUAAGAACGUAAGGCCGUUCAUUUUGAAGCUUCAUUUUUCGGAUUAAUUUUAAAUUUAUUUUGAAUUUUUUAUAUAACGACGACUGAAAAACCACGUCGGUGUUAAGAAAUUAAAGACGUUGUAAAUCAUAUAAACCGACUUACAUAUUAAAAUGACGUCGUUUAAAGCGUAAACCAUGUCGUAUGUUUUUCUGUACGACGUAAAAUAUGUAUUCCACGACGCAACCACCGUCGUUAAAAAUUAAUACCCUAAACCCAUAAAACUAAAUUAUACAAUUUAAAAAAUUAAGUUUAUAAAAGGUUUUAUGGUUUUAAAGCCUAACAUAUACCCUAGACUACCCAAAAAUUAUACUUUAAAAAUAAACCCCAAUAAAUAACAACCCUAAUCUCUAAACCCUAGACUCUAAACCCUAAACCAUAAAACUAGAAGUGAUUUUAUGACUCAUCAAAACAAUUUUGUUUUGGAUGGUCAUUUUAAAUUUUUGUUAUUCAAAAUGAAUUUUUUCAAGGUUUAUGUGGAAGAAAAUAUAUCAAUGACUUCAUAGGAGUGGACUUUUCAAUUUUCUGAUUUAUUUUAAAUUUAUUUUGAAUAUUUUGAUAUAAAAAUAAUAAAAUAUUCUUACCACAACAACAAACCACGUCGGUGUUAAUAAAUUGUAGACGUUGUAAAUUGUAAUAAACUACUAAGUCGUUAAAAUGAGUCGUUAAAAUGAGAAACCAUGGCAGCUAUUUAACUAUACGACGUAAAAUAUAUAUUCCACGACUUAACCGCUGUCGUUACAUAAACGAUAAACGACUAUUAGGGUUGUAAACCAUAAACGACUCAAUUGUUCAAAGAACGUCGUCUAACUAUAUUUUUACGUCGUAUUUGUUUAAAACACGAAACAACAAAAUACGACGGUUUUUGACUUUAUUAGGUCGUUGGAAAAGUAUUACACGUCGGUUAAGCAAUUUGUAUGUUUGUUUUUUUUUUAAUUUAAGAAAACCUCAACAAAUUUUUACAUUACAUAUUAUAGAGAAAAUUUGUACAUUAUACAUAAAUAUCAAGUGUUCAAUAAUUGCCCUGUUUAAUAAUUUGGAAAACAAACUCUGCCCAUUCAUUCCGGACUUCAUCAAUGGCUUCUUGGGGGUAUGAAGCUUCCUGGUUUCCCUUGGCAUACUGCAUAAACAAUGACUAUUAGGGUUUAUAAAUAAAAAGAAAUUCAAUCACAGACAACGAUAUUUUUCAUAACCGACGUAGUAUAUCCAUUCAACGACGUUAAUUUUACAUGACCGUCGUUGAUAAUACAAAAAACGACGUGAAAUGUAUGAAGGUAAUUUCUUCUUACCUUAUUCUCAAACCCCAAGGAAGGAUCCAUGAUGAUGUCCCUCAUGAAGCGCAUCACAUAAUACCCGCAUUCGACAUUGCUGGGUUGCUUUGGUGUGCCUGAGAGAGUUUUCCAAAUUACAUUUUUACGUCCUGCUCGGCCUAUGUGGGUAUUAUAUAUUUUUAAAGCACUGUUCACGAUGUUUUUCGCCUCUUCGUCGACCACACGAUGACCUGGCAGAGGAUCCAGAAAAUAGACGGUCUCCUUCUUUGCUCUUACAAUCAGCAAGAUCCAAUGACGGCUGCACAAAAUUAAUAUAAAAACGACGGUUAUUUACAAAAACGACGUAUUAUAGUAUUUCACACGACGAAAUAAAGUAGAUAACGACGACAUUAUAUAUUUAUCACGACGAUAAAUAAAUACCGACGUGGUUAGUAGUUUCAAACGACUAAAUAAAAUAAAACACCGACGUGGUUAGUUUAUAUGCUGUCAUUUAUUGAAAAUCAUAAAAACAAAAUCCUAAGGAGACUAACCCUGGAUUGUAAGGCAUCAUGAAAAUCUGUUCACCGUCUGUCUUCUGAAGUCGAGCUGCUACCAGUCGUGAUCUUUCAGUUAUUGUGCCAGAGUUGGCACUAACUGUAGCAGGGUCGAUAAAGCCAACCAUGCUGCACAUAUUGGCUUGUUUCAAAACAUCGUGUAAGUACCUAAAUACAUAAAAUAAUAUAAACAAGUCAGCACAAACAAACACGACGGUUAUGUAUAAAAAAACGACGUAUUAUAAUAUUUCACACGACGUACUGAAAUAGAUGAGGACGUUAUAAUAUAUUUAUCACGACGGUAGUUAGUUAAGACGACGUGGUUAGUUAGUUAAGACGACGCAAUAUAUAAACCAACGAGGUAUUAUUUUAGAAGUACAAACCUCAUAUAUACAGCCAAUACAGUAGCUCCAAUUUCUUCCAUGCCUGCAAAUUGUGUAAUAUCUUCAGGCAGGAGGAAGGUAUCGCGCUCACCACCAAACACCUCAUUAUCAAUUGUAAAUUAGAGUGUCUUAUCCUCAGGCAGGAGUGUCGUUUCCACAAAACGACAAAGGGUUUUUAAAGAAGAUGGCGCCUCCAUAUUUGAAUAAGCACCAACUUCAAUAACCUGUUUAAAGAAAUAAAAAAAAUGACGUGGUAAUUCAAUAAAGACGACGGUUUAAGGAAUAAAACGUCGUCUUAAAAGUAUUUAAACGACGGUGAAAAAACUGUCGUGGUAAUUCAAUAAAGACGACGGUUUUAUGAAUAAAGCAUCGUCUGAAACCAUUUAAACGACGGUGCAAAAACCGUCGUUUAAAUAUUUUAUUACGUCUUAAAAAAAGUCCGCCGUCUAAGUUUUAAACAAACGACGGAUUAAAUAAAAAUAUCGACGUCUGAAAUUUUGAAAAACAAAUAAAAAAGGCAAAGUUAUGUGAACAUACCUUGUCGUCAUGCUUUUCUUCAUCUUCUUUCUCCUUUUCUUCUUCCUUCUCUUCAUCUCUUUUUUCUUCUUCCUUCUCUUCAUCUGGCUGAUGUUUCCCCAUUUUGGCAGUAUCAUCCUCCAAAUGUAGGGAUCUCACAUCACCUCCAGAGCAGCUAGCUUUGUCAGACAUUGGAUUUUUGGGGCUUUGGCUAAUUCUUGGUUUAAGCAUGCUUGGAUCAAAAUUGGGAAUUAAUUGGGAAAGCUGACUCAGGAAAUGCUCCCUCUCAGCCUCUACCAAUUGUUUUGUCCUAGCCUCCAUCCUUAAGGCCUCUUCCCUUGCCUUAGCCUCCAUCUUUUUAGUCUCUUCUUGAAGGAGAACUCUUAAACUGUCCUUCAAACGGUCGUCAAAGCUCACCCUCUGUGGUUUAGGCAAAUUGAAAUAUUGCCUUGGGGGAAACACCAGCACCAACUCCCUUCACUCUGCCAGGAUGCUCGGGGCCCAAAGCCAUGGUCAGCACAUCAUUGCUGCCAUCUACUCUGACUUUGCCUUCCGAGACUUGUUUCUGAAAUUCAUCCUAAAAAAAGAUAAACAAAAAAACACACGACGGUUAUUUAUGUACAAACGACGUAUUAUAUAAUUUCACACGACGCAAUAACGUAUAAACCGACGUUAUUAUAACUUAUCACGACGGUAGUUAUACCGACGUGGUUAUUUAUUUAAAACGACGAAAUGAAUAAACUACCGACGUCUUAUGCUAUAAUUAAAGAAAACAGAGUAGUGAUUCCUAUUUAGACCGUUAACGACGUUUUUAAAAAAGUUUCGACGUGGUAAUAUCAUUCAAACGACGCCAAAAUGAACCACCGACGUCUUAUGCUAUAAUUACAGAAAACAUAGUAGUGAUUCCUAUUUAGACCUUUAACGACGUUUUUAAAAACUUCUCGACGUGGUAAUAUCAUUCACACGACAGAAAAUAUAACAUACGACGUAAUAAGAAUAAUUCACAGUUUAAUAAAAAUUUAAAACAGAGUGAUAGUAGGCUUACAAUUAAUUUUGCUUUCUCUGCCACCUUUGGAUCAGGGAUGUUACCAUGUUUGUCCUGUCUAGCUCUCUUCCAUAAGGUAGAUCGAUCAAUUUCUACCCAGGCAUGGUUUCCUCCAAUUGAUCCUCCAAUCCAGCAUAUCCUUUUCGAGACAAUCGAUGAUUGUACUCGAGUUUCUCCCUAAUCUGUGCAUGUUGAGAAUGCACAGACUCAAAAUCUUUGGAUAGCCUUGAAGCUACAAAGGCAUCCCAUUGUGCUUUCUCUAUGAAUUUAUAUGUUUCAGGGGGUUGGCUUAAUUUCUCCCUGUCAUUGGUGUAUGGAAGGAUAUAAUGCCUCGUUAGUGUAGACUUGAAAUCCUUCCAUUUCUUGGAAGCAGAAGCUAAAACAGAGGUCUUGCCCCCUUGGCCUACGACAAAAGCCAUGUCAACUGCUUCCCAAAUCUGCUCCUUUAUAUCCUUGGAGAUUUGGGACCAUUUCUUGUCCACAAGUGGGAUCCUGGAGCGUGCCAACACACCAAUAUACGACUGCAUCUCAAUAUGUGCUUGGCUAACACCUUUUCCCCUUUUAUUGUACUCAACAAUUGGCCUCAGUUUCUGAAGCUUUCUCUUCACAACACGAGGCAUUGUGCUCAUACCUCGACCAGUCUUUGAAUCAUCAGAGAUUGUUGUCUGGCUGGUUGGUUCUGUCUCAGCAGAUGAUGAAGCAAACUUCAUCUUCUUCGAAGACUUCAUCUCCUUCGAAGACUUGUCUUGAGGAGCUACCAUUCCAAGCUUCUUGGAGCCAGAAUCCUUAGUUUGUUGUUGAGAAACCAUUUUAACAGACAAAACUGCAAGUGAAAAUAUUUCAGGAAAACAUUAAGAACACAAACGACGGUAUUAAAAAAAUACGACGUCUGAUAUGAUUUUAGACGACGCAAUGAAAUAAUCUCAGACGUAAUAAAUGUUUAAAACCAUUAUUUAUAUAACGUCGUGGUAUAUAUGUUCACACGACGUCAAUAGUAAUACACCGUCGUGGUAAACUAUUAUUUAUAUAACGUCGUGGUAUUUAUGUUCAUAAGACGUCAAUAGUAAUACACCGUCGUGGUAUUAACAUUCACACGACGUAAAACAAUAAGAUAUUUUGUCGUCUAUAUUAGAUACCAACCCUAGUUUCUUUUUCUUUAUAUUUUAUCAAAUAAGGGAAAAACAAAAACCAUUGUUCAGAGAAAUCAAACCUGCAAUUAAACAAGCAUAUAAAAAAAGACUAUUAUUUUAAAAACAACUUUGUCAAUUUUCAGACGACGCUAGAACAACUGACGAACCGUCGUGGUCUACCGUCGUCUUAUUUAGUUGAGGUAGUUGUCUUCAAAGUUGGAAACUUUCCCUCUUUGUCUGUAUAUUUUAUCAAACUUGGAAAGAAGUAAAAUGAUUUUGGCCAGAAAAAAGGUAAAAAGAUUUUUCAAACAAAAAACGUAUGAGCAUGCAAAACAGUAACCAAAAUAGUGAAAAUGAAAGCUUACCUUUUGCGUGCAAUGAAAGCAAGAGGAAGAUGAUCGAUGUUUAAGUUCAGAGACGACGAAGAAGACGAGAGGAAGACGAUGAGAAACUCUGACAAUGCUCUGACAAGGAAAAAAGACGAAAAGGUUUCUCUGGGAGAUUGAAAUUUUUAAUCGGGUUUGGAAACAGUGCAUGUGUAAGUCGAAAAGUUGCUUACAUAUAAAACCAUUUCAAAAAAAUAAUACGGCGGUUACAUUUAACUACGUCGUUUUUAACUAAAACGACGCAAUAUUUUUCAUUCGACGUGGAAUCAUUUCAUUUAACGUCGUUAGGUUUAAUAUAACCGACGUGGAUUUUAAUUUUUAAAUUAUGAAUAGAAUUUUUUUUCCCGUGACCUUUCAGUUUAUUUUUCAAUUACAGUGCGUUAUAAAUAGAGUUUUUUUUCCGGAGGAAAUUUAAAACGAAGGAAAUUAAUAUUCUGCAAUAUGUAAAGUUUCUUUUUUGGAUGACAGAUUUAAAUAAAAUAAGAAUAUAAAAACAACAAAUGUGUAAGUCAAGUAGACGAAAAGUUGCUUACAUAUAAAACCAUUUCAAAAAAAUAAUAUGGCGGUUACAUAUAACUACGACGUAUAAAUUACAAAAUACGACGGUACAUUUAACUUCGGACGUGGUAAAUAAAUACGACAGUAGUUUGUAGGUACCGUCGUAGUAAACUCAAAAAUUAAAGUACAUAAGUAAUAACUCGCGUCAUGGUAGAUUAUUUAACACGUCGUCUUUAUUAAUUUACCGACGUGGAUUUCUGUAAUAUACGUCGAUCAUACCGACGUUGAUUUUACAAUUUAAACGGCGGUUUUUUUGUAAGGACCGCCGUUGGUUUUAAAAAUUUAUUCUAUAAAUUUGUCGCUUUCAUUCAUUUUCGGUUUACAUUUAAGGUUCCAAGUUCUUCCUCUCUCAGUCUCUCAUGUCUCAAAGACAAUAAUUUGGAUGUUUUCUCAAAGAGAAAUUGAGCUUACUCGCAUCAAAUAUAUGUCCACAAGAAGAAGCUUGUCAACUAGCCUUCUCACUUCCUUGAUCAAGCCUGAUAGGACACUUAAUGCUUCUGAAUACUCCUUGCUUUCCAUCAAAAGAGAUGCAAGCCUGGCCUCCACUCGCUGUCGAAGGAAAGUUCGCUUCUCAGGGAAAUCUGAAGAUCAGAUGUGCCUGAUCCUCUGCUUGAUUUUCUUGCCUAAGAAGAUCCGUCGGAUUUGUGAUAGCCUCUUCCUUUAUCCGUAGAGCUUCAGAAGAAGAAGAUGGGUUUCAAGAAUGCGAUAAAGAAUAGAAAUGGCUUCAGAUGGCCUCUAAAGCAUGAGCAAUUGAAUCAGUAGUUUCUGGGAGAUAUGAUGAAGACAUUGUCAAUGCUUUGAACUAUACAAGUCCUGCAAAAAGAUAUGUUAAAGAAACUGAAACAACGGCGGUUUUCUGUUCUACCGUCGUCUUUUCUCGUCGUCUAUAUUAAGUUAAGAUGGCGGUAGAUUUAUAAUUACCGACGUAGAUUAUUUUGUUAAACGUCGUUAAGUGUAUUACAACCGACGUGGAUUUUAUUUUUAAAUUAUAAAUAGAGUUUUUUUUCCCGUAUUCUUUCAGUUUUAGUUUUCAAUUCCAAAGCGUGAUAAAUAGAUUUUUCUUUCCCGAGGAAAUUUAAAAUGAGGGAAAUUAAUGUUCUAGAAUUUGUAAACUAACACGACGCAAUAUUUGCAAAUCUGUGUCAUCUGUUAAGAUUAUGAUGUGGAACAGAGUUCCAUCUGGUAAGAUUUCGUAACCCUUGGGAUCUCAGACAAAUCUGAUUAUGUCAGCGGUGUUCUAUAUAAACCGUCGUGGUUAUUUCAAUUCUUGUCAUUAAGUAGAUCUACCGACGUAGGAUAAGAAAAUCAAAGAAAAAAAUUGUUAACAAAAAUUCUUAUUAAGACGACCGUUAAAAUUAAAGGUACGACGUAUAAAAUGAAUAAAUACGACGAUAAAUUUUAUUGUACGAUUUAAAGAUAACGUCGUAGAACUAUACGAGAAUGACGUCGAUAUAUUUAUAUUUUCCGUCGUUGUAAAUUUAUUUAAUACGGCGAUAUUUUGUAUUUUAAAGCCGUGGAUUUGUUUGUAAUUAUACGGCGUCUUAUACGAAAACCUCGUCGUGUUAUUUUAUGAGUAAAAACGGCAGUUUUUAUUGAAAUCGUCGUCUUUACUUUCUACGUCGGUCGAUUCAUAACUUCUGCCGUUCUUUGUUGGCAUUGAUUUUACACUGCGGAAAUCUGUUUCAAAUAGACGUUGGUUGUUUAAUUAUGUACGUCGUUGUUUUUGAACAGCCAUUUGAAACUCCAUUUUUUAGUUGUCUAAGGUUGUAUUACACGACGGUGUUUUUAGAACCGUCGUCUUUUUAUAAACCACGACGGUUUUCACUUAGACCGUCGUUGUUUUCUAGUCGUCUUUUUCACUUUUUGUAGUAGUGACGAUAAACAUCCUCGUGAAACCACAAUCUGCUACGUUCACCAGGCUCAUUUGGUGACUCUUGAUAAACUAAUCCUCUACCCAAUUCUUCAAGCAAGUCAUGCAUCCCAAUUGUGCCAUGCUCAAUAUUUAUGAGGGCCUUGUCUACGAGUACUUUAAUAGCAUACUUAGGCUUGAGGUCACAACCUUCCAGGAUCGGUAUCACAUUGUACACCUUUCUACCUUUAAAGAAACAUGCUAUGUCAAGGAAAACUUCUUGCACUGAAUAUUCCAAUGCAUCAUAGCUUAUUUUGAGAGUUUUUUUAAUGUCCGAGUGCAGAUUCCCAUCCAAUGCAUCAUGUCACUCAUCUAUACUUCUACCACAUAGAUGAGAACCUAAAACCUUGAGAGCUAAAGGAAGACCUUGAGCAUGCUUCACCACAGUUUCUGCAGCUUUCACAUAAUCAUCAUCCAAAUUUUUAUUUCUCCCACCAUUCCAACUAAUGAAGAGAUCAAGAGAUUCACCAAAGUCUAAUUUCUUGGCCUUGUAUAUUAUACUAACUUGAUGAGAAGUUAGCAAAUGCUUAUCUCUUGUCGUUAUGAUAAUUCUACUGCCCAAACCAAACCAAUCACAACCUCCAACUAAGUUGUUUAACUGGUCCAAAUGAUCCACAUCAUCUACAAUUACAAGGACCUUUUUACGACUCAACCUUUCCUUUAUCACAUUGAUUCCUUUAUCGGCACUGGUAACCUUUAUGGUCGCUUACUGAAAAAAGCUAGUCAUGAAGUUUUCAGGGGGAGAUAUUCAUCAGGGGGAGCAUGGUAUUAAUAAAGACCUUCACACACUGUACUCUUUUUCCUUCAUCCAGGUUUUUAUCCCACUGGGUUUUUCCUGGUAAAGUUUUAACGAGGCAGUAUCGCUGAAGAUUGACUCACAGAAGCAGUGUCAACUACGAUAUUCAGAAAGAUGAUCAACAGUAUGGCUUAAAGAUAUUUUGCCAAGCAUCAGGGGGAGCGUGCUACCAAUAAAGAUCUUCAAACACUGUACUCUUUUUCCUUCGUCCAGGUUUUUAUCCCACUGGGUUUUUCCUGGCAAGGUUUUAACGAGGCAGUGUCGCACGCGUGUCAAUAUACACAGAAUUUUAUGUUACACAUGAUUAUGUACUCUUUUUCCCUUUGACCAGUUUUUGUCCCAUUGGAUUUUUACUGGCAAGGUUUUUAACGAGGCAUAUUCCAUAUCAUUUGUGGUCUCCAAGGGGGAGUGUUGUAAAUAAUAAGGUGGAGCCCACCUCCAAUUGAAAGAGGCUUUGCCUACAAAAGGGUUCACACCAUUCCUUUGUAAUUUGAGAUUGAUAAUACUAAGAGAGGAAUCCUACUGUUUCCUCCUAUCUCAAUUCCCUCUCCACUUUCUCUAGAUUUAUAACAUUUUCAACAUUUUUCAUGUAUUUUUCGGUUUCAUAUCGUGAUAUAUUGCCCAAAUAAUGCAUGAAAAAUGUUGAAAUUAUCGUCUACGACAUUAUCCCGAUAAUAUCGACAAAAAUAUUGAUAUAUUGACGAUAAUUAAGUGGAUAUGUGCAAAAAUAUCUCCCACUCAAAAAAGAAUUGACGAUAUUUAAUACUAUGGUUGUGAUCAAUGUUAUGGCUAGUACCCAAUGUUAUAUAACUCGCAAGAAAGAAUUCAACCUACCCGUAGUUUAGACAGUAACUAUUUAAUUAAAGAUUACAAUCUGGUUUGGUUAAGUUAACUGACUAUAUAUAUUCUGGAAAAAAAAAAACUGACUAUAUAUAUAUUUAUAAAUAAAUAAAAACAACUUGUGUACUUUGUUUUUGUUUGUUUAUUUGUUAAAAAAUAAUAUAUGGUUUAAUGGGUUGUCUUGUUAAGGGAAAGCAAUAAUUUAAACUUUUGGAAAAACAAUAAUCCCAAAUGUAAGAACCAUUCAUCCACUAAUAGCUUGCAAAAAUAUAAUUUAAAUGGAAAAACAAAAAACAAAUACACUAGUAAUAAGUUGGGAGAUUCAUUAUAAUACCCAAUAUAGGAGUCCAAAUUAUAAAAAAAGCCCUAUAUGAAAUAGACUUUAGAAACACACCAAAAGCUCAUUUACAACAUAACAAAAAGGCUUUUAACUUCUUUUAAAUUACAAUAUUGCCAUUGAUUUCUUAAAACAAACCCAGCCCAAAAACCUCAUAAAAAAGCCCAAAACACUCAAUGGGGCAUCGAAGUAAUUUAAUGAUUAUAAUUAAAUUCAACAGGGUCUGCUGUCAUUUUUUGGGUUUUUUUUGAGUAUGUUUAUAGAAAUUAAAUAGUGUAGGAUUUAUUUAUAGUUUUAGUGCUAAGAAUGAGUAUUUGACUAAAUAUUUCUAAUGAGUUUAUGUAUCUACUAAAACUUAAUUACAUGGAGGCAAUCUAAUGGAUCACUAAUGAUUUUUUAAUCAAAACAACCUAGUUAUAUAUAAUUACUGAAAAAAAUAAUAAUCUCAUUUUUCACGGCCCGAGAAGCGAGCAAAGGUCCUUCAACAAGUUAAACAUGUUUAGAAGGUGUCACCAAGGCACAAAACGGUCCAUAAGCAAACGAACUUUGGCAUCUGAAAGCGUAGAGGAAUCCAAGUCCCUCUGAAUCUGAGCCAUUCUGCUGCUCUCUUUUCUUGCUUCUUUCAACACUUGUCGUUGUUCUUCAACCUCAUCAUCACCUUCUCCUUGCUUGGCCUUUGAUGAAAACACCAUUCGCUUCUUAGCCCCCACCUUGUCUUUCAGCUUUGCCAACUCGCUCAUCCAAACCUCCACCACUGCAGACAUGCUUGAACUUGAAAACUUGAAAUUCUGGCUUGGUCUUGAAUCUUGAGUUUGAUCAAGGAUGAUGAGGAGAGCUGGCUAUUAUGGUUGUUGGUUAUAUAGAAGACAGAGAGAGAGAAAGAGGGCCUUGCCCUUCAUGUGGUUUGGAUUGGAUGAAAAAUCAGUUUGUCACAGACAGCCGUUGGUUAUAGGCUCGCACACAGGAUUAAGUUUUAGGAAUCUUCCUUGGAAAGAGAGAGAGAGAGAGAGAGAGAGAGAGAGACAAGAAAGGGGUAUGAGUUUUGUUGUGUGAAUGAAAAGCUUCCCCGCGGGCGGGCGACUUGGCAUAUCAUCAAUAGUAUUCCAUUGCGAAUCUCUUUCUCCGAAAUACCUAUUCACCUCUUCAUCAUCAUCUUCAGUAAAAGUAGCCAUCUUCAUUAUCUUCACAGCUGAAGUAGUCAGGUUCCGAGUCUUGCUCAUCUUCACAUAGAUCAACACAAUUAUCUCCAUCAAACCUCUCAUUAGCAUCUUCCAAGUUAUCGGAUUCAGACUCACCAUCUUCCGUAAAUAUAGACAGGUCUUCAUCAUCCUGUGUCAUUACCAGGUGGACCCCGAAGCUUUUAAAAUGCAGCGAAUCUUGUGUCAAAUUCUGGAAAUUAACUCGACACGCAAAAGGCGACUGCGGCCAG